This is a long non-coding RNA of Pristis pectinata (smalltooth sawfish), 589 nucleotides long. RefSeq lists it as uncharacterized. The transcript is spliced from 3 exons. The record is from RefSeq and is a predicted model, not a curated record. Lineage: Eukaryota; Metazoa; Chordata; Chondrichthyes; Rhinopristiformes; Pristidae.
AGGCACCUGUAUCUCCUACCCGAUGGAAGAGGAGAGAAGAGAGAAUGACCCGGGUGGGUGGGGUCUUUGAUUAUGCCGGCUGCUUCACCAAGACAACGAGAGGUAAAGACAGAAUCCAAGGAGGGGAGGCUGGAGGAACACAGCAGAUGCUACCUGACUUGCUGAGUGUUCCCAGCAUGUCCUGUGUUUACUCGGCCUCUGCCUGUGUCUUGAGACUGAGUUAUUACAUAACAGUCCAACAGAAGUUGAAGCGGCAAAUGGAAGUGUCUCAGUGACGGGGAGGUUUGCCUGGGCAGAAGAAACAAAAACCUGAAAGCACGUACCUGCUUGAAAGCAGGCUCAAGGACAGCUUCUAUCCCACUGUUAUAAGACUAUUGAACGAUCCCCUAAUACAAUAAAAUGGAUUCUUGACCUCACAAUCUACCUCGUUAUGGCCUUGCACCUUAUUGUCUGCCUGCACUGCACCUUCUGUGUAACUGUAACACUUUAUUCUGCAUUCUGUUAUUGUUUUCCCUUGUACUACCUCAAUGCACUGUUGUAAUGAAGUGAUCUGUAUGGAUGGCAUGCAAAACAAAGUUUUUCACUGUAC